GCCUCGCCCGCACCGUCGGGGAGGUGGAACAUGAGCGCGAGCGAUAGGACCCGAAAGAUGGUGAACUAUGCCGGGGCAGGGCGAAGCCAGAGGAAACUCUGGUGGAGGUCCGUAGCGGUCCUGACGUGCAAAUCGGUCGUCCGACCUGGGUAUAGGGGCGAAAGACUAAUCGAACCAUCUAGUAGCUGGUUCCCUCCGAAGUUUCCCUCAGGAUAGCUGGCGCUCGACAGCUCGCAGUUUUAUCUGGUAAAGCGAAUGAUUAGAGGUCUUGGGGUCGAAACGAUCUCAACCUAUUCUCAAACUUUAAAUGGGUAAGAGGCCCGGCUCGCCGACUCGGAGCCGGGCGUGGAAUGCGAGCGCCCAGUGGGCCACUUUUGGUAAGCAGAACUGGCGCUGCGGGAUGAACCGAACGCCGGGGUAAGGUGCCCGAUGCGGUCGCUCAUCAGUCCGCCCUCACGGGGAUGGAG
RNAcentral lists this ribosomal RNA (467 nucleotides) under Nocardioides malaquae. RNAcentral describes it as "partial 23S ribosomal RNA". It matches the Rfam family "Eukaryotic large subunit ribosomal RNA", at positions 759 to 1229 of the family's 3401-position model. Lineage: Bacteria; Bacillati; Actinomycetota; Actinomycetes; Propionibacteriales; Nocardioidaceae. The record is from RNAcentral.